Long non-coding RNA from Cryptomeria japonica (Japanese cedar), 650 nucleotides. RefSeq lists it as uncharacterized. The record is from RefSeq and is a predicted model, not a curated record. The transcript has 3 exons. NCBI's taxonomy places the organism in Eukaryota, Viridiplantae, Streptophyta, Pinopsida, Cupressales, Cupressaceae.
UCCUAAAAUUUCAAAUAUAAGAAGCCAGAACUACCGUCAAAUUCUAGAUAAAUAUGAAAAGCAAGAAUUACUGCCAAAUUCCAGGCUGACUGAGAAUAUUAUCGUACAAAUAUGGAUUAUCCAGAAGUUUAAUGGCUCACAAAAUUCCCGUGUAAGCUUCGAGUACAGUUCCGUAACGCAUUGUUGCCUUGUAUUUGAAGACUCGGUACAAUACUUACUGUGCUUUGAAAAUGGCGGAUAAAGAAUUAUCGUAUUAGCUUCAUAAGCAGUUAGGUCUAAGUGUGGACCUAAAAAGGGAGACCUAUUCAAAUUUUUGUACCUGGUGCAGGUCAAAUGCAAUAUUUCUCGGACGCGGUUGUAUUGAAUGAUUAAAACGUAGGAUCAACGCUCAAACAGUUGCGCCUUGCAUCAGUGAGAAUUCGAGCUACUCCAUUACUUUAAGGGAAGCUUCUCCACACAGAUUUAAUUGUCAUUUUGUACCGGUAAAAAGACGAAUUCGCGUCUUAAGAAAAUGGCAUAAUUGAUUUUGUUUUCCACUUUCUCUGCCCUAUAUCAAUGUGACUUCAUCUUAUUUAUAUAAAAGGUAUAUUUACCGGUCAAAAUGAGUUUUGACUGUUAAACUGGAUUAGGUUUAAGAAUAUACAAUCACU